This 147-nucleotide unclassified non-coding RNA is filed under the name soil metagenome. RNAcentral's name for it is "partial internal transcribed spacer 1". The record is from RNAcentral.
CCGAGUUUACAACUCCCAAACCCCUGUGAACAUACCACUUGUUGCCUCGGCGGAUCAGCCCGCUCCCGGUAAAACGGGACGGCCCGCCAGAGGACCCCUAAACUCUGUUUCUAUAUGUAACCUCUGAGUAAAACCAUAAAUAAAUCA